RNAcentral lists this ribosomal RNA (611 nucleotides) under uncultured cyanobacterium. RNAcentral describes it as "bacterial SSU rRNA". It matches the Rfam family "Bacterial small subunit ribosomal RNA", at positions 66 to 718 of the family's 1533-position model. The record is from RNAcentral. Lineage: Bacteria; Bacillati; Cyanobacteriota.
ACGAAGUCUUCGGACUGAGUGGCGGACGGGUGAGUAACGCGUGAGAAUCUGCCUAGAGGUCGGGGACAACCAUUGGAAACGAUGGCUAAUACCGGAUAUGCCUUACGGGGUGAAAGAUUAAUUGCCUUUAGAAGAGCUCGCGUCUGAUUAGCUAGUUGGUGAGGUAAGAGCUCACCAAGGCAGCGAUCAGUAGCUGGUCUGAGAGGAUGACCAGCCACACUGGGACUGAGACACGGCCCAGACUCCUACGGGAGGCAGCAGUGGGGAAUUUUCCGCAAUGGGCGAAAGCCUGACGGAGCAAGACCGCGUGAGGGAGGAAGGCUCUUGGGUUGUAAACCUCUUUUGUCAGGGAAGAACAAAAUGACGGUACCUGACGAAUCAGCAUCGGCUAACUCCGUGCCAGCAGCCGCGGUAAUACGGAGGAUGCAAGCGUUAUCCGGAAUUAUUGGGCGUAAAGCGUCCGCAGGUGGCUGAUCAAGUCUGCGGUCAAAGACCGGGGCUUAACCCUGGAAAGGCCGUGGAAACUGAUAGAGCUAGAGUACCGUAGGGGUAGAGGGAAUUCCCGGUGUAGCGGUGAAAUGCGUAGAGAUCGGGAAGAACAUCGGUGGCGA